Molecule: long non-coding RNA, 250 nt
Filed under: Dunaliella salina
Lineage: Eukaryota; Viridiplantae; Chlorophyta; Chlorophyceae; Chlamydomonadales; Dunaliellaceae
Description: long non-coding RNA (DSAL_LNC000470)
Source: RNAcentral
UGCCCCCUUACACAAGAGGUGAUUCCUGCUAGUGAGAAUUCCUCUAUAGAUGAACCACCUAGUGGGAGAACUCGCUCUCAGUGCAGAUCCAACAAUCACUUGCCUGUCCACCCAGCUUACACACCCGUGCAAGGCACCACUUCACACUCUGGAAAUGCUUCCACCCUAAAUGCUAGUCCGCCUGGACUACAAAAUGAAAACCCUGGGGAUGGACCUCCCAGCACACGCACACGCUCUAGCAGGAAACGAG